CCCCAGUCCCUGAACGCAAGUUUGGGGGACGUGGAGGCCUCGGCCAAAGCGGAUCUUUUAAAGCAUGCACCGAGAAAAACUCAAAGGAAUACUAAGGCGCCCGUACCGGAAACCGACACAGGUGGGUGGGCAUGAAUGUGCCAAGGCGCGUGAGUGAAACCUCGUUAAGGAACUCUGCAAUCUAGCCCCGUAACUUCGGAAGAAGGGGUGCCCACUUUUAGUGGGUCGCAGUGAAAUGGGUGUACCGACUGUUUAUCAAAAACACAGCACUCUGCUAGGUCGUAAGACAACGUAUAGGGUGUGACACGUGACCAAUGCGGAAAGAUUACGGUAAGUGGUUAGCGCAAGCGAAGCUACGAGCCCAAGUCCCCGUGAAUGUCGGCCGUAACAAUAACGGUCCUAAGGUAGCGAAAUUCCUUGUCGGGUAAGUUCCGACCUGCACGAAUCGUGUAACGAGUGCACCGCUGUCUCAACGAGGAGCUCAGCGAAGUUGUAAUGGCGGUGAAGAUGCCGCCUACCCGCAGCAGGACGGAAAGACCCUAUGCACCUUUACUGUACGCUGUUACUGUGUUUUCGAUUUUCAUGCUUAGCGUAAGUGGGAGACUUUGAAGCCAUUCUUUCGUGAUGGCCGAGUCGUCAAUGAAACACCACCCUUGGAAAUUGGAAACUCUAACCCUCGCCCAUCAACUGGGGAGGGGACACUGGCAGCCGGUCAGUUUUACUGGGGCGGUAUCCUCCCAAAGAGUAACGGAGGAGUACGAAGUUUGGCUCAACCUGGUUGGCAAUCAGGUGACGAGUACAUGGAUAUAAGCCAGACUAACUGUGAGACCUACAAGUCGAGCAGAUGCGAAAGCAGGUCCAAGUGAUCCGGUGGUUGAAAGUGGAAUCGCCAUCGCUCAACGGACAAAAGGUACGCUAGGGAUAACAGGCUGAUCGAGUCCAAGAGCUCAUAUCGACGACUCGGUUUGGCACCUCGAUGUCGGCUCAUCACAUCCUGGGGCUGGAGAAGGUCCCAAGGGUCCGGCUGUUCGCCGGUUAAAGUGGUACGCGAGCUGGGUUCAGAACGUCGCGAGACAGUUCGGUCCUUACCCGCUGUGGGCGCAGGAAAGUUGAGGGGUUUAAACCUUAGUACGAGAGGACCGGGUUUAACGAACCUCUGGUGUUCCAGUUGUCGUGUCAACGGCAGUGCUGGGCAGCUACGUUCGGAAGAGAUAAGCGCUGAAAGCAUCUAAGCGCCAAGCUCCUCCCAAGAUUGACUUUCCCUGAAGAGUCGUGGUAGACCACCACGUUGAUAGGCCAUAGGUAUAAGCGCAGUAAUGCGUUGAGCUUAGUGGUACUAAUAACUCGUCCGGCUUGAUCGA
RNAcentral lists this ribosomal RNA (1361 nucleotides) under metagenome. RNAcentral describes it as "bacterial LSU rRNA". It matches the Rfam family "Bacterial large subunit ribosomal RNA", at positions 1541 to 2925 of the family's 2925-position model. The record is from RNAcentral.